This 279-nucleotide ribosomal RNA is filed under the name uncultured bacterium. Its description in RNAcentral is "partial 16S ribosomal RNA". It matches the Rfam family "Bacterial small subunit ribosomal RNA", at positions 506 to 784 of the family's 1533-position model. The record is from RNAcentral.
UGCCAGCCGCCGCGGUAAUACGGAGGAUCCAAGCGUUAUCCGGAAUCAUUGGGUUUAAAGGGUCCGUAGGCGGAUUUAUAAGUCAGUGGUGAAAGUUUGCGGCUCAACCGUAAAAUUGCCAUUGAUACUGUAAGUCUUGAAUUACUAUGAAGUGGUUAGAAUAAGUAGUGUAGCGGUGAAAUGCAUAGAUAUUACUUAGAAUACCGAUUGCGAAGGCAGAUCACUAAUAGUAUAUUGACGCUGAGGGACGAAAGCGUGGGUAGCGAACAGGAUUAGAUA